UCCCUGUAGCUCAGAUGGUAGAGAGUCUGUCUGCAAGGCAGGAGACCCAGGUUCAAUCCCUGGAUUGGGAA
This 71-nucleotide transfer RNA is filed under the name Bos taurus (domestic cattle). It matches the Rfam family "tRNA". Rfam says of the family: Transfer RNA (tRNA) molecules are approximately 80 nucleotides in length. RNAcentral also lists the same sequence under 5 other names. Lineage: Eukaryota; Metazoa; Chordata; Mammalia; Artiodactyla; Bovidae. The record is from Rfam by way of RNAcentral.